CUCUGAAAUAUAAUCAAGAGGAAGAUGCNCUCCUCAUGAUCACCCACCUCCUCAAGACCAUCCUCCUCAUGAUCACCCACCUCCUCAAGGUCAUCCUCCUCAUGAUCACCCACCUCCUCAAGACCAUCCUCCCCCAGAUGUUCUUCCUCAUGAUCAUCUUCCUGGUUACCUGUGCAGACUCUCCUCCUUCACCUGUCCUGGCUCAGGUGGGCUCCUCACCUGUCCUGGCAGAGGUGGGCUCCUCGGUGGUCCUGCCCUGUGAGAGAGGGAGCUCUGUUGGGGACUGUAUAGAGUGGAGAACCUCCUCUCAGCUGGUGUUUGAGAGAUGUGUUGAGGAUGUUUAUCAGGGUUCAGGAUAUGAGGGUCGAGUUUCUGUUUCUGAGGAUGAUCUGCUGAGGGGAGGUUGCUCUCUGCUGAUGGAGGAUAUCAGACCUUCUGAUGAAGGAGAAUACAGAUGCUUCCUGAUACAGAACAACACUAAAAACCUCAUCCAGCAGAUUAAUCUCUCCGUUAAAGAAGCUGCUGAAAUGAUCCGUCCUUCUCCACAGAUUAUAGCAGUUUUCAUUUUUUUAUUCUUACUUUUCCAAAGACUUGUAGAGCAUUGAUGAGCCUCUCUAACUGCUGCCUGAAUCUGCUGGAUUUUUGUAUCUACUGAUUUUUGUAGUGAACAGUACAGAGAGGAAUUAGUGACAGAUUAAAAAAACCCUACCAAAAAUCUCUGUGGAAAAACGUAAAUACAAUCCACAAAAUGCAUUGCUUUUCCUCACUAACAUGCAGAACAUGUUGAAAAAUGAAAUGCUAAAUCACUAUUACAUUACAUUUCACUGCACUUUAUCUCUUUAUUAAAAAAACAAUAUAGAAG
This 862-nucleotide long non-coding RNA is filed under the name Astyanax mexicanus (Mexican tetra). RNAcentral's name for it is "lncRNA (ENSAMXG00005010815.1)". The record is from RNAcentral. Lineage: Eukaryota; Metazoa; Chordata; Actinopteri; Characiformes; Acestrorhamphidae.